RNAcentral lists this ribosomal RNA (497 nucleotides) under uncultured bacterium. Its description in RNAcentral is "partial 16S ribosomal RNA". It matches the Rfam family "Bacterial small subunit ribosomal RNA", at positions 28 to 507 of the family's 1533-position model. The record is from RNAcentral.
GAUGAACGCUGGCGGCGUGCCUAAUACAUGCAAGUCGAACGCAUAGCGCAAGCUUCUUUCACCUUUCAUGUUAGUGGCGAACUGUUUAGUACCACUUUGACAACCUGCCUCAAUUCUUGUGUUUACUUUUGGAAACAUAUCCUAAUACCUAAUAAAACUUAGUGUCUCAUGACACAAAGUUAAAUGGCUCUUCUUCUUCACCUAGAGAUGGAUCCGCGUUGCAUUAGUUAGUUGGUGGGGUAAAGGCCUACCAAGACAAUGAUGCAUAGACGACUUGAGAGAGGGAUCGGCAACAUGGGAACUGAGAAACGGAACAAAGUACUACGGGAGGGAGCAGUAGGGAAUAUGAGACAAGGGGGGAAAGCAGGAUGGAGGAACGCGGAGUGUGAGAUGAAGGAUUUAGGGUCGUAAAGAAGUGUUGUAAGGGAAGAAAAGAAAGAAAAGGAAAUGAAUAUAGUUUGACGGUAACAUAAAAGAAAGGGACGGCUAAAUACGUG